RNAcentral lists this ribosomal RNA (499 nucleotides) under uncultured bacterium. Its description in RNAcentral is "partial 16S ribosomal RNA". It matches the Rfam family "Bacterial small subunit ribosomal RNA", at positions 28 to 523 of the family's 1533-position model. The record is from RNAcentral.
GAUGAACGCUAGCGGCAGGCCUAAUACAUGCAAGUCGAACGAUAGAAGAGGGCUUGCUCUCUUCGAAAGUGGCGCACGGGUGCGUAACGCGUAUGCAACCUACCUUAAUCAGGGGGAUAGCCCGAAGAAAUUCGGAUUAACACCGCAUAAAAUCACAGUACAGCAUUGUACAAUGAUCAAAUAUUUAUAGGAUUAAGAUGGGCAUGCGUGACAUUAGCUAGUUGGCGGGGUAACGGCCCACCAAGGCGACGAUGUCUAGGGGAUCUGGAGAGGAGGACCCCCCACACUGGUACUGAGACACGGACCAGACUCCUACGGGAGGCAGCGGUAAGGAAUAUUGGUCAAUGGAGGCAACUCUGAACCAGCCAUGCCGCGUGCAGGAAGACAGCCCUCUGGGUCGUAAACUGCUUUUAUUCGGGAAUAAACCUACUUACGUGUAAGUAGCUGAAUGUACCGAAGGAAUAAGGAUCGGCUAACUCCGUGCCAGCCGCCGCGGUAA